This 229-nucleotide ribosomal RNA is filed under the name uncultured Geobacillus sp. Its description in RNAcentral is "partial 16S ribosomal RNA". It matches the Rfam family "Bacterial small subunit ribosomal RNA", at positions 1158 to 1380 of the family's 1533-position model. Lineage: Bacteria; Bacillati; Bacillota; Bacilli; Caryophanales; Anoxybacillaceae. The record is from RNAcentral.
ACAAGUCGGAGGAAGGUGGGGAUGACGUCAAAUCAUCAUGCCCCUUAUGACCUGGGCUACACACGUGCUACAAUGGGCGGGUACAAAGGGCUGCGAACCCGCGAGGGGGGAGCGAAUCCCAAAAAGCCGCUCUCAGUUCGGAUUGGAGUCUGCAACUCGACUCCAUGAAGCUGGAAUCGCUAGUAAUCGUGGAUCAGCACGCCACGGUGAAUACGUUCCCGGGCCCGUU